CGGGGUGUGGCGUAGCCUGGUAGCGCGCUCCGCUGGGGGUGGAGAGGUCAUCAGUUCAAAUCUGGUCACCCCGACCA
This 77-nucleotide transfer RNA is filed under the name Alphaproteobacteria bacterium. RNAcentral's name for it is "tRNA-Pro". It matches the Rfam family "tRNA". From Rfam's summary of the family: Transfer RNA (tRNA) molecules are approximately 80 nucleotides in length. Their secondary structure includes four short double-helical elements and three loops (D, anti-codon, and T loops). Further hydrogen bonds mediate the characteristic L-shaped molecular structure. tRNAs have two regions of fundamental functional importance: the anti-codon, which is responsible for specific mRNA codon recognition, and the 3' end, to which the tRNAs corresponding amino acid is attached (by aminoacyl-tRNA synthetases). tRNAs cope with the degeneracy of the genetic code in two manners: having more than one tRNA (with a specific anti-codon) for a particular amino acid; and 'wobble' base-pairing, i.e. permitting non-standard base-pairing at the 3rd anti-codon position. The record is from RNAcentral. Lineage: Bacteria; Pseudomonadati; Pseudomonadota; Alphaproteobacteria. RNAcentral also lists the same sequence under 1 other name.